Molecule: long non-coding RNA, 7507 nt
Organism: Parus major (Great Tit)
Lineage: Eukaryota; Metazoa; Chordata; Aves; Passeriformes; Paridae
Exons: 3
Source: RefSeq, a predicted model, not a curated record
GGAGCGCUCGUGUCGCGACGCGGCUGGAAAAACCCAUUCCCGGCGAGGCUGGGGCUGAGGCACCCGCGCUUCGUCACGGCGUGUUACACAAACACAGCUCGGGUUAAUGGUGUGCUGCAGGCUCGGGGGUGAAAGCAAGGCAGGAGCUGCCCCUUUGCUGUCCCACUGCUGCGGGCACAGUAGAGGUUGCUUUUGUGGUUUGAUUGUCAUACAGUGCUAACUCGCUGGAGAUACAUCUGUCAGCUUCAGAGCAGAAAUUAUUGCAUGAAAAUGGCUCUGCACAGGAGACACCUCCCACUUCCAGCUCUUAUGAAAGAUGUGUUGGCUGUAACAUUUUCUGAGAGAUUUCAGCAGAAAAAGAAAUUACAUCUAAAAUAUAAGGCUGGGAGGGAAACUGGUUAUUAACCAGUCAAAUGACUGGAUAUUUUAACUGCAGGACUUCAGUGCUACAGGAUCCCUUGUAACCUAGAAUAACAUAACAUCCCUUUUACAGAGAACAUAAUGAUAUUUGUAUUUAGUUUAUAGUUUCCAGCUGACAGAGAUCAGAAACCAGGUCUGGCACAUCCCAGGCUAAUGCCUGUUCACUGGGUUGUCCUGAAACAGAGCUCUUUGGGGGGAAUGAUCUCUCUCCAUUUCGAGGUUGUGUGUUUGCUCUGUACUUUUGGAGCUAGGAUUUGAAGCAGCAACUGCUGCUGUAGGAAUAAAAAUGGAGAAACUGAAGGGAUACACACGCAGUGCAAGUUCUGCAAGUGACAGAAUCACAGCCCUGUGGUUGUAAAACCAGUUCUGACCUACUCCCCAGCCACAUCCUAUAAACAAGCUUUACCUGUGCAAUGACAAGGUUUCAGUUCACCUCUGCAGAGGCUGUGUUUUGUAGUUUUUGUUCCCUUCUUGUGCUUGAAAGCUGUACCUUCUCCCCAGAAUGCAUGUGGCAGAACUUGGCCUGUGCAGUGCCCUGCCCAGCCUUCACUGAAAAUUAAUAGAGCAGCUUUGCCUUGAGCCUCAAACUAGCACCAGCUGAAGGACUUUAUGGAUAUAAAUAAGGGCCUGCUUUUGAUAAAGGUAUCUGGUUUUGGCCAUGAUAAUGACUUUUUUCAGCUAUACCUUGAGCUUCAGAGACUACACAAGGGUAAAACAGAACAGGCACUAUGAUAAUUUCAUAGGAAGUUCAGUCCAGAAGGGGAACAUAAAACUAUAUAUUAAAUGAACGUGUUGCUAAUGGUCUAGCACUGAUAUUUCACACUGAAUUUAAAUUAUUUACUGCUCCAAAUAGUAACAAGCAAUCUAUUCCACAUCAUUUCAGAUGCAAUUUACUUGCAUUCUAGCCCAUCUCUGCAAAGUCAUAGUGACUAGGCUUUGCAAAGAAGCGUGGGAGCCCUUGAGCCCUGCAAAGGCCUGGGCAGUGACCCUCUGCAUUCCUUAAUUGUAUAACACAUCUAAAUGCUGGAUCUACUGAAAAGCAAUUACUGCAACUUCCUUGUUACUGCAAAUAUCAUUAGAUGGAAGAGAAUCUGUAGACUUUUUUUGAAAAGACAAAAUUUCAUAGCAAAUUACUAUUACUCAGGCAUUUUAACACAGAAGUACCUAGUGACAUCCUAUGGAGGCCCAAGGGCCUAUGACUAAAAUCCUCCUCCCUUGACCCUGGAGAGGCAGUAACAGAGAGGUUGGGGUGAGACAAGGCCUCUCUCCCACAGGUCUUCUCAACUCUAGGAUAAUGUAUUAGGUUUGUUCCCCCGUUGGUUUAUCAAGUUGAUGUCACCCCAGUUCACCCCUGUUCACCUUAUUUGUAAGUUCCCUAGAGUGUUCUCCCUUCCCUCAAUCCCCCUUGGCCCCAGUUUGCUGCACUGUUCCACCACCAUUACCCUCUUGGUCCCCCGAGUUGGUUGCCCCUCCUAUGCACCACUUUUACCCAUCCCCAUGGGACCCUGACCCUCAGAUCCACCCCCUCUUGCCCCAUAUAUAAUCCUAGACCCUCAGCCUGUCUUUGUCUUUGUCCCUAGACCCUUUCAAAGAUUAAACCUUUUCGGAUUUCCACACAAAGACCCAGACCCUUCCCUUUAUUACUCAUCAGCUUUUAUUUAAGCUGUGCAUUCCGGCCCCAGAAGCGCAGGUCGCUCUUCAGAGAUUCAUUGUGGCAUGCACCACAACACAAUUGCUGUUUUCCUCCAGCUUUAAAAUACAGGUGUUGCAAGCAGACAAACAACUGAUUGUUUUAAGGACGAAAAUAACUAUCAACAGUUAUAGAAAAAAUUAGGUUACUUGUAUUCUCCUGUCUGAAUAGUCUCCUUAGGCUGCAAGAGCUGACUAAACUUGUCAAUCUAACAAAUGUAAUAGUGCUGGUAGCAAAAGAACUCUUGGAAUUCAGCAGAUACAAGCAGAAGGGACAUGAUAAGAAUCAAGGGGACAAUGCCAAGAGAAAAAGUUACGUGAGAAGGUGGCCAGCCCAGCCACAAUGGAACCCAAGAAAUCAAGGGAAAUCAAGAGUCCACCAACCAGAGUAACGUGUUUGACUUGGACUGGGUGAUGAGUGUCAGGGGUAUAACUGAGAGGUGUGAGUUGGGGUAGGGGCCCCUCUCCAGAGGCACCAGUUCUAGCUGUAACCAAAGAACAAACAGAAGACUCACUGGAAACAUUUCACUUGGACUUGGCAUUCUUAGUGGGGCCCUAGGGUCAGACACAGUUACUGUGGCUGGUCUGCAUAAAUCUCUAGAAAUUGAUAGAAAUAUAUUAUUUGCUGGUGUGAACUACUUUUCCUCAGCUUAAGAGGUUUAUUUGCAGCACUGCAAUGACCUCCUGAUUUUAGAAAAUUCACUUUCAAACUUACUUUUUUUGUUUAAUUUAUAUCCUAAUGCUAAUUUUCUAUAAGCAGCAGCAAGACAAGCUAUGAGUCAUUUCAAAGAUGACCUUGUACCAGGAAACUAUUACUUAACCAGGAGAAGAACCUGCUCCUUUGUAGGUUAACCAACAGCAAUUGUUUCUCUUCCCAGUUAACUCCAUGUAUUACAAGAUAGCCUUUGCACAAUGUCUCUCAACCACUCCAGUAAGUUUUGAGGUGUCCUUUGUUUAAAUGCCACAAUAUGUCCACAGGCCCUGGCCUCUUGAAAGGGGAACAAAAAAAGGAAAAUCCAAAGCUACCAUCGUAAAUUUGAUUUGUCAUCAGUUUUUCUCAAUCAGGAGAAAGUACAGUGCCGUAUAUUGAACUUCACACAGGGAAAGAAAUGAAAGAAUUUACUGCUGUUUCUUUUCUCAGAGUAGACAGAUCAUCUAUCAGUCUCCAAACAGUCAUGUGUUUCUGUAGGACUUUUUUUUUAUCUUGUGAAGAAUGUGGGAAAUACUCUCUUUAAGUAGAAAGUGUUGGUGGAAAAAACAUCCCACGCAUUUAGAUGCCUGCAAGCUGUAAGACAGGAAGGAAGCACCUGAGCAGAUUGGUGGCAGAUGCUUCCCAGACCUGUCCAAGCCCACCUGCCCCAGAACUGUUGUGUGGUUCCAGCAGUGCAGGGUCAGCCCCCCUAAGCCCAUGCCAGCCUUCCACAGAACAGCUCACAGGAUCGGCACCUGCUCUGCUACAGCUAUCCCAGUUUCCAGAAUUCAAGAAGGAAAUUCAAAACACUCCAUCUCCUCCCUCCACCAAGUCUUCAGGGCUCCUGAACUGGGAAGGGCCAGGCUGGACACAGUCCUUCUGCUCAGAUUUAACCCAAAUGUUCAGGGUGAAGAAAAAAAAAUCAUGAAAUGGCCAAUUAGUCAUUCUUAAUAGGAGAAGCAAAUUCCCUAUACAGCUUUGUCCUUCAUACUUCAGUAAUCAUUCCAGAGUCAUUAGAAUAAUGAUAACGUGGGAGACAAGAAAUAUUCAUACAGCAGGAGAGGUGCCUCCCUGAGGAGCAACAAGCCACCACCUCUGUUUUUUUUGGUGUAUUUCUGUCACUUGUACACAUUUUAAUCCAGAUUCAGAGUCUAUGAGGAUGCUUAUUUCCUUCCCCUCCAAGAACUAUAGAAGACUUAGCAAAAAACCCAAAAGAAUAAAAAUUCAGGAAUGGAAGCCACUUAGAAAACUCAAGGGAUUUUAAUGACUGAAUGAAUAAGGAACUACUUAUUAUUUUUAAGUAGCAAACAAGUAUUUUGCUAUCAAAUCACAAGCUAAAGAAUUUAAAGAAGCCAUAAACAUUAGUAAGCCAAACAUACAGAACUUGGGAGUAAGAAGGCAUUUUACACACAAGAGUUUAUCAACACAAAACUGUUUAAUAUUUAUUAAAUGACACAAAAUACCUAGAUAACAGACUCACUCUCUGAAAGGACAUGUAUUUACAUUAUUUACCAACUUAAGAAAGACUCUCUGUACCCAUAUUAGACUUAUGAAACAUAAAAAAGGUUUUGCUGCUUUUUGCAUCGAAGGAUGCAAUGGUGAUACAUGCCCUGUUUGCAAGUCUGCAUAAACUAUAAGUUUUUGAUGUUGUGAAAAAGCACAAUUUCGUAUUCUGGUAGCUGAGGGAAGAGGCUUCUGAAAAGUAACAGGGUUAGUUUUCCCCCCCCCACUCCAGACACACUCUCAAGACUGUUAUACAAAAAGUAUAUUACAUUUUUGAAUGCUGCUGUACUCUUACAAUUUUAGUGUAACAUUUCAAAUAAAAUGUUCUUCCUACUAUAUGAGAGCACUAAAAAAAGUGGUAUUUGAACAUUUCUUUAGAUGCACUUUUUUGUUUUAAAAGAAAGCAUUAGGGCAAAUGAUAUGUCUAGGAAAAAAUGAAAGGCUGACAAAAAAAAAAAAAGCUGAGACCAAAAUAUGAAGAACAGCUAAAGCAACUUAACAAUUUGCUAGGGUUUGUUUUUGUUUUUUUUUUAUUAACUAUUUACUUUGGCACCUUCGUGUAAACUAUAGAACAAAACAACGUUUACAACACAUUUGCAAUUACAGCAUUUAAACAAAAUGGUCACUUUUGAAACCAGCCAAGACAAAAAAAUAGUCCAUUUAUGGGUAUAAAGAUUAAAAAACCUAAAAUAUAUAUUUCUAAGAAUAAACUGCAAUUUCUUAUGAACAAGGUGCUAUAAACUGCAUGCAAGAGUCAAGAUUAAAAAUGUGCGGCCAAAAAGACAAGCUGUGUUCUAGCCAGAUGAGUUGUGGUCCAAGCCCAUUUCAGUUUUUUCUUACAGAGAUAUAUAUGGCUCAAGAAGCAGGCACAUGAUCCCAGCAAGAAUUUGCGGAGUUGUACGACGACGUAUCUUGGCUGCAGCUUUGUCAUUAACCAGGAAUGAGCGAGACCUUAGCAGAAGAGAUGAACAAAUUCUUGGGGAAAACCCAUGAAGGAGAAGCCUUCUCCCCUCCUCUCGCUCACCCUUCUCCUGGUCUAGCCAGGGUUCUCAAAGUCCAUUCUUUGGGUUGCUUUAACUGGAUUGCGCUUGGGGUCUGCCUCAGAUUGUGAAUUGUGAUGAAAUUUGAGGACAUUUUCUGUAUCAUAUUUUCUGCAUUAAAGUUACUGAAAUAGACAGGAUAAAAACUAAAUAAACCUACAGUCCUUUGCAGAUAAUUUGACUGAACGGGACACUGGUGUAAUGAGGGAGGAUUUUACCAUAACAGGUGUUCACACUACAGGUGUGCUACAACAGACUGAAUGGAACCAGCUCAAUAAAUCAGCUCCUGUCUCCUGAAGAGUUAAGUCUUACGCUUCUUCUCCAAAUAUCUUUAAAAGGAAUCUUUUAUUGGCUGAAGAUACAAAACAUAAAAGAAAAGGAACACUGAAUACGAAACACAGAAGUUUUUUUUUAAAAAUGGUGGAGGGCAUUCUUUUCUCCCCAGUAGAUCUCUAUUUGAACUAAUACUUGAAGAUUUGCAGGAGGAGUCUUCAAGGUUCUUACCACAUAACUCUACUGUCAGUAUUUGUCUCACAGAGGCAGGGGUGGCCCUGGAUGUCUACCAGUGGUUAUGCUGCAAUAGUGUCAAGGGGCAAGGUAGAUUUUCUGCAGAUCACAAAGAGCUGUAUGGGUGACUGCAAAUAAUUUAGUAGGAAAAAACCACCCACAUUUGUUUCAUCUAUCAGCUGAGGACUGCAUACAAAAGAGCCUGAGAGAAAACAUGGCUGGAGAAUAUAGGGAAUUAAACAGUAGACAAAAAAAAAAGCACUAAGGAUGGCAUGUGUCAGAUAGAAAACACACACACACACUCUCACACAUGCGCACCCCUGAAUGUGGGAUCACAGUGAUAGAAGUUAUAGGUCAUAGAGAGCUAAGUUACACUGCCAUUAAACAAAAAUAACAUCUUGCUUUCAAGACAUAUCGGGUAUUCCCCAGGACUAUCAGUGCCUGAAAGAGGAUGAGGUUUUUCAUUGUGCUCUGCAACACAGCUGAUCAUAGGUCUAAAGCCUGGCUGGGUAAGGAAGAACUGGUACAUGGAGAAGUUCCUUUUCUGUUGACACCUUUUUUUUCCAUAUAUACCUGGCACAUGCUGCUAUAAGCAAUAAAAAAUGUAUUUUAUUGAAACAAAGCUCUACAUUCAAGUGACUUACUCUCCCAUGUCUUAUAAAGAUGCAAAGAAUGCUCUCUGGUCAUCUAAGAAAAUAUAUUUUAGAUGCCUUGUAGCAAUACUUAACUUACUAUAUGAGAGGUAGGCUUCUGGGUUCUAGGAGGCCUGCUAGGCUCUAGGGCUGAGUUCUUAAAGCUUUAAGUUAAAGCAAUCCAAAGCAGGGCAAUCUUAGAAGAGCUGCCCUGUCUAAACCUUGAGGUUAGUUCAAGUUUAGAAUGUUGCAAAGCAAAACAAGUAUUAAAAUCCAUUUGCAAUUUUUGUUCCUACAGCUUUACCACAACAACAGUGUGGCUUUUUCAUCUGUUAAUAGAUUCUCUUUAUUCUAGAGUAUUGCUGCCAAGAGGUGAAGGCCUCCUACCCAUGACUAGUAAAAACUGUCACUUCUUCCAUUAUGGCUGUUUAAUGCUUAAAAUUCCCAAAGGUGAACACCAAGUCUCACAGGCAAGCCAUAUAAAUCUAAUCUGAACUUGUUUUGUUGUAGCAGUUAUUUAAGAAUGGUGUUUGUAUAUACAGUAUAUAUGCCCACACUGCAAACUUUAUACAUUGUUUUAUAUUGGCACCAUUUUGUCUUAAUUGCAACCAAGAAUAUUUUCCAUUAGAUCAGCAAUAAGGAUAGCUUGGCUUAUUCCUCAUUUUCCCCGCUCAAGAGAAAAAAAUCCAAGUGUGGGCAUCAACCAAACCAAUGAUGUGAAAGAUAUCUGUCAUGUAUCAAGGGACUCCUCUUCAGACCCAGAGAAAAUGGAAUCAGAAAGGCCAGGUACUUUCUUUCAGCUUUCUGCACAUCUUACUAAAUAACAUGCAAAGAGUUCAACAGCAUUCUUCUUAAAAUGUAAAUAGUACUCUUUAAAUGGGCAUGUUAACCACUGAAAGAAGUCCACUCUACUAUACUUUUCCAUUACACUGCUUUCAUUCAAUCAUCGGUAGUAUAAAAAGUCAAUUAACGGGAUCAACAGGCUAGUUUAUCCACUGGCAACUGUGUAGGACACCAAGUGUGCA